UGGUACAUAAUUAUCAGUGAUGGGUCCAUGAGGCGUCGUGUGGCGUCCCGACACAUUGGCAAACUGUAUUGACACUGUGUCGAUACUGUGUCGCUGACUGCUGACACCCGCUGGACCUUAAAAAUACUACAGGCAACCCUAGUUGACAGACACGACUGACACUGAUUUGAUGA
Syngnathus acus (greater pipefish) is the source of this 173-nucleotide long non-coding RNA. RefSeq lists it as uncharacterized. The record is from RefSeq and is a predicted model, not a curated record. Lineage: Eukaryota; Metazoa; Chordata; Actinopteri; Syngnathiformes; Syngnathidae. The transcript is spliced from 3 exons.